Molecule: signal recognition particle RNA, 266 nt
Filed under: Tissierellaceae bacterium
Lineage: Bacteria; Bacillati; Bacillota; Tissierellia; Tissierellales; Tissierellaceae
Description: signal recognition particle sRNA large type
Rfam family: Bacterial large signal recognition particle RNA
About the family: The signal recognition particle (SRP) is a universally conserved ribonucleoprotein involved in the co-translational targeting of proteins to membranes. Archaeal SRP consists of a 7S RNA and homologues of the eukaryotic SRP19 and SRP54 proteins. In most bacteria, the SRP consists of a 4.5S RNA and the Ffh protein (a homologue of the eukaryotic SRP54 protein).
Source: RNAcentral
CCGUGCUAGAUGGGGAGGUAGCGGUGCCUUGUAACCUGCAAUCCGCUAUAGCAGGAUCGAAUUCCUAGCAGAGGCAUUUCUAUCGUGAGGUCUGCCCCAAGAAAGUGGCGUUGACGAUUGGGUCCUACGCAACGGGAACUCAUGAACCCCGUCAGGUCCGGAAGGAAGCAGCGGUAAGUGAAACUUUUCGUGUGCCGUAGGGUUGCCUGGUCCGAGUUAACUACUUGGGUAACGCUUGGGAUAGGAUGUCGAAGCUAGGUGCACGG